AGCGAACGCUGGCGGCAGGCUUAACACAUGCAAGUCGAGCGGGCCCUUCGGGGUCAGCGGCGGACGGGUGAGUAACGCGUGGGAACGUGCCUUCUGGUCUGGAAUAACCCUGGGAAACUAGGGCUAAUACCGGAUACGCCCUUUUGGGGAAAGGUUUACUACCGGAAGAUCGGCCCGCGUCUGAUUAGCUAGUUGGUGGGGUAACGGCCUACCAAGGCGACGAUCAGUAGCUGGUCUGAGAGGAUGAUCAGCCACACUGGGACUGAGACACGGCCCAGACUCCUACGGGAGGCAGCAGUGGGGAAUAUUGGACAAUGGGCGCAAGCCUGAUCCAGCCAUGCCGCGUGAGUGAUGAAGGCCUUAGGGUUGUAAAGCUCUUUUAGCCGGGACGAUAAUGACGGUACCGGAGGAAUAAGCCCCGGCUAACUUCGU
Molecule: ribosomal RNA, 432 nt
Filed under: uncultured bacterium
Lineage: Bacteria
Description: partial 16S ribosomal RNA
Rfam family: Bacterial small subunit ribosomal RNA
Source: RNAcentral